UACAUGGGGUGCAAACGUUGCUCGGAAUUAUUGGGCGUAAAGCGCACGUAGGCGGCUACUCAAGUCAGAGGUGAAAGCCCAGGGCUCAACCUUGGAACUGCCUUUGAAACUAGGUAGCUAGAAUUCUGGAGAGGUCAGUGGAAUUCCGAGUGUAGAGGUGAAAUUCGUAGAUAUUCGGAAGAACACCAGUGGCGAAGGCGACUGACUGGACAGAUAUUGACGCUGAGGUGCGAAAGCGUGGGGAGCAAACAGG
This 253-nucleotide ribosomal RNA is filed under the name uncultured bacterium. RNAcentral's name for it is "partial 16S ribosomal RNA". It matches the Rfam family "Bacterial small subunit ribosomal RNA", at positions 524 to 776 of the family's 1533-position model. The record is from RNAcentral.